UACGAAGGGGGCUAGCGUUGCUCGGAAUCACUGGGCGUAAAGGGUGCGUAGGCGGGGCUUUAAGUCAGGGGUGAAAUCCUGGAGCUCAACUCCAGAACUGCCUUUGAUACUGAGGAUCUUGAGUUCGGGAGAGGUGAGUGGAACUGCGAGUGUAGAGGUGAAAUUCGUAGAUAUUCGCAAGAACACCAGUAGCGAAGGCGGCUCACUGGCCCGAUACUGACGCUGAGGCACGAAAGCGUGGGGAGCAAACAGG
Molecule: ribosomal RNA, 253 nt
Filed under: uncultured bacterium
Lineage: Bacteria
Description: partial 16S ribosomal RNA
Rfam family: Bacterial small subunit ribosomal RNA
Source: RNAcentral